ACAGUCUUAGUUUAUUUAGAAUAAUAGUUUGUCUAACUAUGGGUGAUUUUAUCAGAUUGUU
RNAcentral lists this transfer RNA (61 nucleotides) under Moniezia expansa (sheep tapeworm). RNAcentral's name for it is "tRNA-Asp". Lineage: Eukaryota; Metazoa; Platyhelminthes; Cestoda; Cyclophyllidea; Anoplocephalidae. The record is from RNAcentral.